UACGUAGGGUGCGAGCGUUGUCCGGAAUUAUUGGGCGUAAAGGGCUCGUAGGCGGUCUGUCGCGUCGGGAGUGAAAACUCAGGGCUUAACCCUGAGCCUGCUUCCGAUACGGGCAGACUAGAGGUAUGCAGGGGAGAACGGAAUUCCUGGUGUAGCGGUGAAGUGCGCAGAUAUCGGGAAGAACACCUAUGGCGAAGGCAGCUCUCUGGGACGGUACUGACGCUGAGACGCGAAAGCGUGGGGAGCGAACAGG
Molecule: ribosomal RNA, 253 nt
Filed under: uncultured bacterium
Lineage: Bacteria
Description: partial 16S ribosomal RNA
Rfam family: Bacterial small subunit ribosomal RNA
Source: RNAcentral